Molecule: ribosomal RNA, 464 nt
Filed under: Vreelandella stevensii
Lineage: Bacteria; Pseudomonadati; Pseudomonadota; Gammaproteobacteria; Oceanospirillales; Halomonadaceae
Description: partial 16S ribosomal RNA
Rfam family: Bacterial small subunit ribosomal RNA
Source: RNAcentral
CCUACGGGCGGCUGCAGUGGGGAAUAUUGGACAAUGGGGGGAACCCUGAUCCAGCCAUGCCGCGUGUGUGAAGAAGGCCCUCGGGUUGUAAAGCACUUUCAGUGAGGAAGAACGCCUGGUGGUUAAUACCCAUCAGGAAAGACAUCACUCACAGAAGAAGCACCGGCUAACUCCGUGCCAGCAGCCGCGGUAUACGGAGGGUGCGAGCGUUAAUCGGAAUUACUGGGCGUAAAGCGCGCGUAGGUGGCUUGAUAAGCCGGUUGUGAAAGCCCCGGGCUCAACCUGGGAACGGCAUCCGGAACUGUCAAGCUAGAGUGCAGGAGAGGAAGGUAGAAUUCCCGGUGUAGCGGUGAAAUGCGUAGAGAUCGGGAGGAAUACCAGUGGCGAAGGCGGCCUUCUGGACUGACACUGACACUGAGGUGCGAAAGCGUGGGUAGCAAACAGGAUUAGAUACCCCGGUAGUC